This 254-nucleotide ribosomal RNA is filed under the name uncultured bacterium. RNAcentral describes it as "partial 16S ribosomal RNA". It matches the Rfam family "Bacterial small subunit ribosomal RNA", at positions 524 to 776 of the family's 1533-position model. The record is from RNAcentral.
UACGGAGGGAGCAAGCGUUACUCGGAAUUAUUGGGCGUAAAGGGCGCGUAGGCGAUCUGAAAAGUUCUGUGUGAAAGCCCACAUGUUAACUGUGGAAGUGCACAGAAAACUGUUGGAUUUGAGUUCAGGAGAGGAAGGCAGAAUUCCCGGUGUAGCGGUGAAAUGCGUAGAUAUCGAGAGGAACACCUGCGGCGAAGGCGGGUUGCUGGGCUGACACUGACGCUGACAGCGCGAAAGCUAGGGGAGCGAACGGG